RNAcentral lists this RNase P RNA (291 nucleotides) under Neotoma lepida (desert woodrat). RNAcentral's name for it is "Nuclear RNase P". It matches the Rfam family "Nuclear RNase P". Rfam says of the family: Ribonuclease P (RNase P) is a ubiquitous endoribonuclease, found in archaea, bacteria and eukarya as well as chloroplasts and mitochondria. The record is from Rfam by way of RNAcentral. Lineage: Eukaryota; Metazoa; Chordata; Mammalia; Rodentia; Cricetidae.
GGUGGGGGAAGCUCAUCAGUGGGGCCACAUGCUGAGUGUUCCUCACUCCCAGGCCCUGAGAAGGUCUGAGACUGGAACCUCCCGCCACCCUAACUGGGCCCUCUCCGAGGAGGGAGGUGAGUUCCCAGAGAGCAGGGUUCCACAUGUGGGCAGACUUUCAAGCUCGUGGGAGCUUGAAACAGACUCACUGCUGGGGUAGUCAAUAUUGGCAUAUAAGAGAAGCUCCAUGGCUCGUACAGAGGAGAGAGAGAGAUAGCAAGGGCCAUUUCCUUCAGUAGCUCUCUUGCUAAC